GUCUGCUGUUUAAAUACUUAGAGCUCAAUCUCGUGAGUAAGCAGCUGGAAACUGUUAUGGUCUAGAGUAUUGGUAUGGGUAAAGGGAACUCCCAGUGUAUCGGUGAUAAUGCGUAGAUAUUGGGUAUAGAACACCAGUAGUCGAAAGCGCUUUACUAGACCAUUAUCUGACACUCAGAGACGAAGAGCUAGGGGAGCAAAUGGGAUUAGUAUACCCCAGUAGUCCUAGCCGUAAACGAUGGAUACUAGAUGUUGCGUGUAUCGACCCAUGCAGUAUCGUAGCUAACGCGUUAAGUAUCCCGCCUGGGAAGUAUGCUCGCAAGAGUGAAACUCAAAGGAAUUGACGG
Molecule: ribosomal RNA, 346 nt
Filed under: uncultured eukaryote
Lineage: Eukaryota
Description: bacterial SSU rRNA
Rfam family: Bacterial small subunit ribosomal RNA
Source: RNAcentral